RNAcentral lists this long non-coding RNA (3042 nucleotides) under Coffea arabica (coffee). RNAcentral's name for it is "long non-coding RNA (CARA_LNC003359)". Lineage: Eukaryota; Viridiplantae; Streptophyta; Magnoliopsida; Gentianales; Rubiaceae. The record is from RNAcentral.
UGAAAAUAUGAAGGAUAUGGAUAUAUGGAAUUCAUGCCGAGAUGAAGGAAUUGUAAGAAUCAUCCUGAGGAUAAAGUACAAGAGAAACUAGGAGCAAAAAUGAAGGAAAAAGGAAAGAAGUGAAAAACUGGAAAUUUAAUGACACGGAUCCGAGGAUCCGAGCUCGGAUCCGUGAGAGCAAAGAGGGAUCCGAGCCCUUGUCUGUACUUCUAGAGGAGCGUAUCCAAGGUCAAACGAUCCGACCUCGGAUCCAUCAUGGGAAGUCUUCAGAUCCUGAAGAUCCGAGCUCGGAUCCUUUUUCACCCCUCGGAUCCCAAGCUCGGAUCUGUCUCUCUCUUCAGCAAGUGGCACAGCCGUUUUUCUUUACCUUUCUCACAACUUUUCCAGCUAUUUUGAGGGACAGAAGUCGGUGACACAUGCUUCUGCAAAAAAAGAGAAGACCAAAUGAGUUGUAGACAAAAGGAAACAUCAUAUCUUUGACUUCUUUUUACAAAAUCUGAGUGGAGGAAAUUAUGAAGUGAGAGGAAUAGACUUUCUAUCACCUUUUAUGCAGAAACACAAGGAAGAAGCAAAAAGGACCAUACGUAGCUAGUUUUCUUUCUUGUAACCAGUUUCUCUCUAGCUAGGAGUCCUUGGAGAAGCAUUUGGGGUUUUCACUUGUAAUCAUUUUGUACAAGAACAUAGCAGAAAUUGGAGGUCUUCACCAUCAAUUGGCUAAGCUUUCUUUUAUCUUUCUUGUACUUGUACUUUAUGAUGUUUUGCAUUAAUAAACUUGUGAGUUUGAUUGUUAAAUCAUUCAUGAGUAGCUAAUUUUCUUUAUCUAGGGAGUAGAUGAAACUUAUGGCUAAAUAAUAUGAGUUGAAUGUGAUUUACACUUGUUAUAUCUUGUAUUAACUUGUCUACUUGUGUAGCUGUGAUUACUUGUUAUUGAUUGAUCACCAAUAGCAUGUUUAUAGUUGUUAUUGUUCAAUGAGAAUUGGUAGUAACAAUGGAAACACAUGAGUAGAGCUUAAGUUGUAUGUUCAUGAAAAUAGAAAUACAUUUAAGUGGAUUACUUAGCAUUUCAUGAAAAAAAACAGAAGAGUAUUAGUAUUUCAUCAUGAAAAUAGGGAAAACUAAACUACUCUAGGUCAUUUCAUCAUGAGAAUGAGACUUGGUAAUUUUAGAAAUAAAUCUCUGGUUAAACAAGAAUAAUAACAAGAGGUAAAUCCAUUCAUUUGUGUUGUUUACGUCAUAAGUGGAAUCUACAUCUCUAGAUUCUUUCUUGAGUGAAAUUUCUCCAUUUGCAUUUAACAUUUGUUAAACUAGAUUUGUAUAUCAGAUUUGUAGACUAUAGCAAUAUACUUUCUCUGCUCAAAUUUAUUGUAAGUCUAAAUAAUAGAGAAAAUAAGGGCCUAGUACUUGUUUAAUUUGCUCCUCGUGGGAUCGACCCGAUACAUACCCUACAUUACGAUUUCGGCCUGUAUACUUGCAGCUAACGGGUAUAAAAAUCGGAUUUAAACUUGCAUUAAUAAAAACAAAUCCUGUCAGAUGUCCUGAUAAAACUUGCAUAGAUCACAAUUCUUAUUAGGGACAAUUUUAGAAACCUCUCCUUAGGUGUAUGACAAUUGCAUUGAGCUCUCUUAAGGUUUGCCAAAUUAUACCUACCUCCCUAAAUUUGAUAGUUUUGGUAAUGGUGUAAUUUAAGAAAUCUUCCCUGAGGUUUAUGACAAUUUCACUGAGCUUUCCUAAGGUUUGGAAAAUUACAUCUAGCUUCCCUAAUUUGAUAGUUUAAGUAACCAAACAUUAGAAUAACAUUAACUUGAUCAAAAUUAAAUGAAUACCCUAAAAUGCCCUUGUGUAAUGAGUUUUAAUUUGUUUCCCUGUACAAUUGUAAGAUUAUCUAGCGCAUUAUAAGAAAAAGCUGCCAAAUUUUUCAUACCUAUAUCUACUAUUUGAGAAAUAACCACAAUAAUAUUUUUAUCACUAUGAUGUGAUACUUUUGAUAGUAUUUUACUAUGAAUUUAGAUUUAUAUGAUAAAGAAGAAAGUGCUACUAUAAUUCUUUUAGAUUUUGUGAAUUUUUUGAGUAGUUGGAUUACUGUAGAUUAGUAGUGAUUUUGGGCCAUUUCUUUUUUAUAGGCAAAAGUGGUAGUUCUAUAGUUUUGUUGCCAAAAAAUAAAAAAGCGGAACAAAAAGGAAAAAGAAUUAAAAAAUAAUUUUAAAACUGAUUCCUUGUAUAAGCUUACCGAACAUGGGAAUUUCAUUAAAAUGUUUAAGGGUAGUAUUGUCAUUUUAAAUGGUAAGAAAGGUAUGUUUAAUUUUUAAAAUCUCGAAAGAGUUAAGUGAAAUUAUAGGGAUAAUGCAUUGCUUAUAAAAUGAGAAAACAUAAGUUGAAAGACAAAAUCUAAUUUUUUUUUUAUUUUAGCUCAUGCUUGAAACUAGCAAGAUAUAAAAAUGUUCUACAAGUUUCAUGGAAAAAAAAGCUCUAAGAACAUUUGUUCUUGAAAAAAUUGAGGAAUGGAAAACUGUAAUUGCAUUAGGAAAGACGUACAAUUAAUUGACCAAGAAUGCGAAUAGACUUAUAGACAUUAGAACAAUCCAACACAAUGAUUUUAAACCACUACACUCUUCAAUCGAUUAGUCAAUAAAAUUACAAAAUGAAAAGAGAACUUUACAUCAAGGAAAGCACAGAGGGUGAAAUAUCAGCAAUAGAUAUUUAAAACAUAUUUAUUUAAUUGAGUCACAAAAAAAUUGAUUUGGCAAAGAAUGAAAGAAAAAUAUAUCAAUCUUAGAUCUAGUCAUAUAUAUAUUUUUCUGAAUUUCUAAAUCUUUUUUGAAAAUUCUUUGCUUUGCAUUGAACAAUAUUUGUUUUAUGUUAAUCACUCCACACAUAUGUAUGUAUGUAUAUAUAUAUAUAUAUACACACACACAUUAGAUAAAAUUAAUUCAUGAUUUCUGUUGAAGAGUCAGUCGAGGAGAAUGACCUAAAUAGAACGGCGAGUGAACAAAAAUGAACUGACCUGCAAAAGAACCGAACUACAGGACUAACUCUCCGUUAUGG